AGGAUUAACGCUGGCGGCGUGCAUGAAACAUGCAAGUCGAGCGCGGUGUGAUGCGGGGUAACCCAAUUCACAUCUAGCGGCGAACGGGUGAGUAACACGUGAGCAACCUACCUUUGAGUUGGGGAUAGCCCUGGGAAACCAGGAUUAAUACCCGAUGUGGUCACAACAGGACAUCCUGAUGUGAGUAAAGGCGUAAGCCGCUCAAUGACGGGCUCGCGGCCUAUUAGCUUGUUGGUGGGGUAACGGCCUACCAAGGCGAUGAUGGGUAGCUGGUCUGAGAGGACGAUCAGCCACACUGGGACUGAGACACGGCCCAGACUCCUACGGGAGGCAGCAGUCGAGAAUUUUUCCAAUGGGGGAAACCCUGAAGGAGCGACGCCGCGUGGAGGAUGAAGGUCUUCGGAUCGUAAACUCCUGUCAUGAGGAACAAACCUACAUGUUUAACUGAUGUGUAGCUGAUAGUACCUCAAGAGGAAGGGACGGACUAACU
This 490-nucleotide ribosomal RNA is filed under the name uncultured bacterium. Its description in RNAcentral is "SSU rRNA". It matches the Rfam family "Bacterial small subunit ribosomal RNA", at positions 26 to 502 of the family's 1533-position model. The record is from RNAcentral.